AGCAGCCGCGGUAAUUCCAGCUCCAAUAGCGUAUAUUAAAGUUGUUGCAGUUAAAAAGCUCGUAGUUGAAUUUCGGGAUCAAGGAAUCGGUCAUGCCUUGGUAUGUACUGGUUUUAUUGGUUCUCACCUUCUAAAGAACCAUAAUGUCAUUUAUUUGAUGUUAUGGGGAAUUAGGACUGUUACCUUGAAAAAAUUAGAGUGUUUAAAGCAAGCUCACGCUUGAAUACAUUAGCAUGGAAUAAUGAAAUAGGACAUUGUAUUCUAUUUUAUUGGUUUUUAGGAUCGAUGUAAUGAUUAAUAGGGAUAGUUGGGGCAUUAGUAUUCAAUUGUUAGAGGUGAAAUUCUUGGAUUUAUUGAAGACUAACUACUGCGAAAGCAUUUGCCAAGGAUGUUUUCAUUAAUAAAGAACGAAAGUUAGGGGAUCGAAGACGAUCAGAUACCGUCGUAGUCUUAACCAUAAACUAUGUCCGACUAGGAAUCAGACGAUGUUAAUUUUUUAAUUGACUCGUUUGGCACCUUA
RNAcentral lists this ribosomal RNA (520 nucleotides) under uncultured Glomus. RNAcentral's name for it is "SSU rRNA". It matches the Rfam family "Eukaryotic small subunit ribosomal RNA", at positions 569 to 1090 of the family's 1831-position model. Lineage: Eukaryota; Fungi; Glomeromycota; Glomeromycetes; Glomerales; Glomeraceae. The record is from RNAcentral.